RNAcentral lists this ribosomal RNA (800 nucleotides) under Bacillus mojavensis. RNAcentral's name for it is "bacterial SSU rRNA". It matches the Rfam family "Bacterial small subunit ribosomal RNA", at positions 31 to 817 of the family's 1533-position model. The record is from RNAcentral. Lineage: Bacteria; Bacillati; Bacillota; Bacilli; Caryophanales; Bacillaceae.
GGGAAUUGGCCGCUGCUAUACAUGCAGUCGAGCGGACAGAUGGGAGCUUGCUCCCUGAUGUUAGCGGCGGACGGGUGAGUAACACGUGGGUAACCUGCCUGUAAGACUGGGAUAACUCCGGGAAACCGGGGCUAAUACCGGAUGCUUGUUUGAACCGCAUGGUUCAAACAUAAAAGGUGGCUUCGGCUACCACUUACAGAUGGACCCGCGGCGCAUUAGCUAGUUGGUGAGGUAACGGCUCACCAAGGCAACGAUGCGUAGCCGACCUGAGAGGGUGAUCGGCCACACUGGGACUGAGACACGGCCCAGACUCCUACGGGAGGCAGCAGUAGGGAAUCUUCCGCAAUGGACGAAAGUCUGACGGAGCAACGCCGCGUGAGUGAUGAAGGUUUUCGGAUCGUAAAGCUCUGUUGUUAGGGAAGAACAAGUACCGUUCAAAUAGGGCGGUACCUUGACGGUACCUAACCAGAAAGCCACGGCUAACUACGUGCCAGCAGCCGCGGUAAUACGUAGGUGGCAAGCGUUGUCCGGAAUUAUUGGGCGUAAAGGGCUCGCAGGCGGUUCCUUAAGUCUGAUGUGAAAGCCCCCGGCUCAACCGGGGAGGGUCAUUGGAAACUGGGGAACUUGAGUGCAGAAGAGGAGAGUGGAAUUCCACGUGUAGCGGUGAAAUGCGUAGAGAUGUGGAGGAACACCAGUGGCGAAGGCGACUCUCUGGUCUGUAACUGACGCUGAGGAGCGAAAGCGUGGGGAGCGAACAGGAUUAGAUACCCUGGUAGUCCACGCCGUAAACGAUGAGUGCU